Molecule: transfer RNA, 64 nt
Filed under: Tanystylum sp. JZ-2022
Lineage: Eukaryota; Metazoa; Arthropoda; Pycnogonida; Pantopoda; Tanystylidae
Description: tRNA-Pro
Source: RNAcentral
UCAGAUAUAUUUUAUUAGAAUUUUAAUUUUGGAGAUUAAGGGUAUGUUUAUAACUUUAUCUGAA